UACAGGAAAAGUACAAUGCAAACCCAAAAU
Molecule: non-coding RNA, 30 nt
Filed under: Mus musculus (house mouse)
Lineage: Eukaryota; Metazoa; Chordata; Mammalia; Rodentia; Muridae
Source: RNAcentral